CCCGCUGAACUUAAGCAUAUCAAUAAGCGGAGGAAAAGAAACUAACAAGGAUUCCCCUAGUAACUGCGAGUGAAGCGGGAAAAGCUCAAAUUUAAAAUCUGGCAGCCAUUUUACGGUUGUCCGAGUUGUAAUCUAGAGAAGUGCUUUCCGUGCUGGACCGUGUACAAGUCUCUUGGAAUAGAGCAUCAUAGAGGGUGAGAAUCCCGUCUUUGACACGGACUACCAGUGCUUUAUGUGAUGCGCUCUCAAAGAGUCGAGUUGUUUGGGAAUGCAGCUCAAAAUGGGUGGUAAAUUCCAUCUAAAGCUAAAUAUUGGCGAGAGACCGAUAGCGAACAAGUACCGUGAGGGAAAGAUGAAAAGAACUUUGGAAAGAGAGUUAAACAGUACGUGAAAUUGUUGAAAGGGAAGCGCUUGCAACCAGACCUGCCUGCAGUUGCUCAUCCGGGCUUUUGCCCGGUGCACUCUUCUGCUGUCAGGCCAGCAUCAGUCCGGGCGGUCGGAUAAAGGCUUCGGGAAUGUAGCUCCUCUCGAGGAGUGUUAUAGCCCGUUGCGAAAUGCGGCCAGCCUGAACUGAGGUCCGCGCUUCGGCUAGGAUGCUGGCGUAAUGGUUGUAAGCGGCCCGUCUUGAAACACGG
Molecule: ribosomal RNA, 635 nt
Filed under: uncultured fungus
Lineage: Eukaryota; Fungi
Description: eukaryotic LSU rRNA
Rfam family: Eukaryotic large subunit ribosomal RNA
Source: RNAcentral